Molecule: ribosomal RNA, 407 nt
Filed under: uncultured bacterium
Lineage: Bacteria
Description: partial 16S ribosomal RNA
Rfam family: Bacterial small subunit ribosomal RNA
Source: RNAcentral
GACGAACGCUGGCGGCGUGCCUAAUACAUGCAAGUAGGACGCAGUUGCGAACGGGUGAGUAACGCGUAGGUAACUACCUAUUAGAGGGGGAUAACUAUUGGAAACGAUAGCUAAUACCGCAUACUAGUAAAUGGACAUGCGUUGUAUUAGUUGGUAGGUAGGGUAAUGGCCUACCUAGGCAACGAUACAUAGGCGAGCUGGGAGGGAGAUCCGCCACACUGGGAAUGAGGCAACGCCCAGACUCCUACGGGAGGCAGCAGUAGGGAAACUUCGGAAAUGGGGGGAAACCCGACCGCGCAACGCCGCGUGAGUGAAGAAGGGUUUCGGAUCGUAAAGCUCUGUUGUUAAGGAAGCGGUACUUAACCAGAAAGGGACGGCUAACUACGUGCCAGCAGCCGCGGUAAUUC